RNAcentral lists this unclassified non-coding RNA (218 nucleotides) under uncultured fungus. RNAcentral describes it as "partial contains 5.8S ribosomal RNA, internal transcribed spacer 2, and large subunit ribosomal RNA". The stretch from base 1 to 52 matches the Rfam family "5.8S ribosomal RNA", at positions 103 to 154 of the family's 154-position model. Lineage: Eukaryota; Fungi. The record is from RNAcentral.
AACGCACAUUGCGCCCUUUGGUAUUCCGAAGGGCAUGCCUGUUUGAGUGUCAUAUAGACUCACCUAUUCGGGUUUCCGAACUAGGUGCUUUGGACGUCUGCCGCCAUCUGGCUCGUCUUAAAUGUCUAAGUGGAAUGCGUAAUAAGUUUUCGCUCCCUCCACUCUAAUUACACUUUAGCUCUGACCUCAAAUCAGGUAGGACUACCCGCUGAACUUAA